Molecule: long non-coding RNA, 3456 nt
Organism: Oncorhynchus kisutch (coho salmon)
Lineage: Eukaryota; Metazoa; Chordata; Actinopteri; Salmoniformes; Salmonidae
Exons: 3
Source: RefSeq, a predicted model, not a curated record
GGAGGAAGGGGAGGACCAUCCUGAAAAAUAAAAAUAGUUAAACAUUAAAAAAAGUUUUUGUUUUUAGAUAAACCUACACUAAAUAUAUUCAUGUCACCAAAUAAUUGAUUAAAACACACUGUUUUGAAAUGAAGGUCUACAGUAGCCUCAACAGCACUCUGUAGAGCAGCACCAUGGUGUAGCCUGAGGAUAUCGAGUUUCCGUCUUCCUCUGGGUACAUUGACAGAGAGGAAUGCUAUGUUAGCUAGCUGGCUAUCCAACACUGGAACUCUUCCAAAUCAAGGUUAAACUGGUGGGGAGUCGCAAGAUGAAGGGGUACACCUGAACGGUUGUCGGACUUGGGAACCCAUUGAAGUGGGUAGGAAAAAAAGGAAUAAAGUGGAACGUAUUAAGAGUAAAUAGAGUGCUGGACAAUGAAAUUGAACAUGACGAGAUUGAGGAUUAAUUGACUGCGGUGGCAGGUGUCGGGAAGACCGCCGAGUUUGAGCCUCGUCCGAUGAGGAUAAUUUGUUUUUUUGGGCGCCGUUGAAAGGAGUGAUAACUGGAGUUGAAGAUUCCUGGUGUCUGUGACACCUGCCGUUUGGUGCGAUGCACACCCGGUGGAGAGCGUGGUGAAACAGAGAAGACACUCUCUGUAAUACUGAGUUUUGAUGCAGAGUUUUUCCAGAUAAAGUCAAGUUAUGGUCAUGUGGCAGCUGUAAGUAUGAGGGAGAUUCCUAGACGUGAGAAGUGUGCAGGAGGAAGGCUUAGUGUCGUCGGGAAAAGUUGUGUGUGUAAACUGUAAGGGUACCCAUGGUAGGGCUACACAUUGCUUUGUCUCAGAUGUGUCAGGUGAGAGAAAGGCAGGUUUAGGUUGCCAGGAUCAGAGUAGAGCAGAAGGUGUCAUAUGCUGAAGCAGUGACGAGAGUAGUCGAUGAAGAUGGGUCCAGGGUGAGGGAUCCUAAGAGGAUCCCUGUGAAUAUGGCAGAGAUCAAUAACGAGUGAUAGGAAUAACAUGCUUCAGUAAGGUUUUCUUGGCGUUCAUGGCCAAGGUUGUCAUCUGUACCUUAGGAAUGAAACGAAAAUCACAGAAGAUAGAUGUUGUGGUUGCAGCUGUAGAGAAAUACUUUGGUGUACAAGAUUUUACAUCAGAAAGCUGAAUGAUGGUGCCAUGACCUCAUAGGCUGUUGGCCUGGUGUAGGAUCAGAUGGGGCCAAAGUAGUGGAAUAUAUACAUACAUUAAUGGUUGUAGGGUUAGUUGGUAGGGCAAUUUCUUUACCAUGUGUAAAGAAUUUGUACUACAGAAUAUUAGGCUUAUUUAGAGCCAAUACAGUUGGUGGCGGCAUGCACCUGGAACAUUUGUUUGCUGACCGCCAUAAUACCAAAGAAGAAGAAUGGUUAAGCUUGUACAGUGCUAGUUCUACAGUCUUAAUGACACUGACAAAAGUGCAUGUGAUACUAAAGAGCCUACUAAAGUUUAAUUGUUAAGACACUCACCAUUUCAUUACUAUAUGAUAUGGCCAUUUAAAAAAAUAAUAUUUGCCAUACAUUUUAAUUUAAGAAUGUAUACAUAUAAAUACAUGUUGGAAUAUAUUUUACAAAACAUUUCCCCCCCCAAAAAAAUAUAUAUUUACCAAGUACAUCAAUAAAUACUCUUUAAUGUGUUUCAGAAUGUAUUUUGAAAUACAUUAAACAUUGAUGCAAAUGUUUACAUACAUUACAACAUAUAUUACGGAAUGUAUUUAAAAGUUAUAAAAUAUUUGGGGGCCAAUUUCAAAUAUUUCACGUAUAUACCCCAAAAUGUAGCUAAACAAAUAUAUUUUAAAUUUUCUUUUUUUUCUCGUAUGGGGAGUGUCCCGUGUGAGCUCGAAAAUGGGACACAGGCUUAGCUACUUCACUGUGCUCUGUGAAAAGUGGAUGCACUUACUGAAGUAAUCAGAUUACACUAAUAUGGUUGUUUACAUUAGUUCUCAUGAUGAAGACCGUUGUACUUCUGAGUUUACUGGUCAGUAGUGUAAUACAGUAUAUAGCAACAGAGAUCAUCGGGUCAUAUAAGUGGGAAUGAAUUUAUGUGCAAUAUAGUUGGGGUUCAAAAUAGGAGUCAGACAUUAUCUCUUGACCCUACUGCUCACACUUAUUGGAAAACUAUUUUAAUUCAUUUUGGGUCCUUGUGCAUUACACAAGGUACAACAGUAGACAAAAUGUUCAGCCAAACUAAAGUACAACUAUUUAUUUCUUAUCAAUUGAAUUGAAAUAUGAUUCAGACACAAUAAACAUCUGUGUUGUCUUGUUUCUUCUCCCUUCAGGUCUAGUUAACUAUGUGUAUGACACCACCUACUGGUGCUAAGUACUCGCUGACACUACCUACAGCAGAUUAUCAAACAAGGAAACCAUUCAGCUGGGGGAAGAUCUUCCACCACCACACCACUAACACACAAACAGAUUUACUUCCUAACCUUAUGUCCUCAAACUCAGGUCUGGAAACUGAGGCCAUCUCUGUAAGGAACUCACUGUUGGUCCAUGUGAGAGUGAGGUGGGAAAAAGCAUCAUACCAAUGACUGUAUUGAAGGAGGAGGGCCUUCUUCUAGCAGCCUGUGUUUCCUGUGCCCAUAGGGGGAGCCAGAUUCCUUUCAUGAGCAUCUGUAGAGCUGCAUCUGCACUGCUGAAGGAGAAUGCCCAACAUUCCCAGAAUACGAACACAUACCGCUGUAGAUCAGACUAAAGCAGGACUUCUAUACAGACUACUUAUAGUCAUGGCAUCUGUAUGAUAUAUCCAGCUUAUUACAGGAGUUUGGGUUUCUAAUGAAAUGUCUCUCUUUAAGGCUAUUGUUGUCAUUAAUCAUUUCAAAGAGCCAUGCCCCAAAAAACAGAAACACCAAAACAUUCUAAACAGCUUCAUCUUUUGAAGUUAGGAAUGUAAUUUCUAAUGCAGCGGUGCAGGACAAACAUGCCCAAAUAAAGUAUAAGACAGACUUCAGUUGCCUCAAAUUUGACCUUCCCUAUGCUGGUCAUAUGUCACAAAUGUAGACAAGAAAUGUAUCUACCUCAGAGCAGACCUGGGUUCAAUACAUGCAUAUCUGUGUAUUUUCAAAUGAUCUCACCAAAACAACUCCUUUAAUUUGAAGUAUUCUUUAAUAAUUAUAUUAAUAGCCAUUCUCAGUUACUUCAAAUACCCCUAGGACCAAAUGGACAAAUGCAAAGAGUAUUUUAAUAUUUGUAUUCGAAAAUACACUUCUGUGUAUUUAAGCAUUUAAGUACAUGCCAGUACUUUUAAAGUGUAUUUCCAAGUACAUUGCAAUAUUCAACUACUUGUAUUUUCAAAUAAAAAAUAUAAAAAUACUCACUUCAAGUGUUUUUGUAAGUAAUUGUGUCACGUUUGUCAUAAGGAGACCAAGGCGCAGCGUGAUAUGAAUACAUACUCUUUAAUUAAACGAAGAAACACUAAACAAACUUACAAAACGAACGUGACGCUAUAUA